AUGGGAGCCCGAGCGCCGCGGGCUCCGCGUGCCGGAGCAGCCGGAGUGGCCGUUCGACGGCGAGCACGCCAGUGGGACGCCGAGGGCCAAGAGGCGGCGGCGAACUUCCAUGCGCGGCAAGAGCGGGUGGGUGGCCGGAGUCGGGGACAGCAGGCACAACGGCGUGGCAGCGUCGCCCGGGACGCGCGCAACCAUCGGCAACCUCUGAAGCGGUGCGUCGCCGACAGCCUCAACAACCGCUGGAGUCCGAUGCUGCAGCGGCACGGCCCUGACGGUUCCAACCUCCUGAGGCGCUGCUACCAUCGGGUCAAACUACCCAUCCAUGCGCUGAGCACCAAAACGGCGGUGGCGGAGCCACCAGUGUCGGAUCGAUGCCCCCAUCGGCCUCGAGCCUUGGUGCAGCCGGACCGGCGAGAAGCCGGGCGGGCACGUCGGGCUGCACGGGCUGGUUCGAGUGCCCCGCGCCGUGCCGGUGGUUGA
RNAcentral lists this ribosomal RNA (480 nucleotides) under Triticum aestivum (bread wheat). Its description in RNAcentral is "partial small subunit ribosomal RNA". The record is from RNAcentral. Lineage: Eukaryota; Viridiplantae; Streptophyta; Magnoliopsida; Poales; Poaceae.